Long non-coding RNA from Mus pahari (shrew mouse), 1226 nucleotides. RefSeq lists it as uncharacterized. The record is from RefSeq and is a predicted model, not a curated record. Lineage: Eukaryota; Metazoa; Chordata; Mammalia; Rodentia; Muridae. The transcript has 3 exons.
UCGACAAAAUAAUUUUAUGGUUGGAGGAAGGGGUCACCACAGCAUGAGGUACUUUAUUAAAGGGUCCCAGCAUUAGUAAGAGGCUCUGGAAGAAGACAAGUAUGUGAGCAAGCAAUUGCAGUGUGAAAUGAAUUAAAACAAAAACUUGUGGUUCGGCUAGAGUGGUAAAUCCUGUGUGUGCCUGGCAGGUGACUUAGCAACUGCCUGGCUGUCACCUGGACCCACAAGGAAACUAAAUCCAUGGAAAAGCCCGUCACUUCUGCCUUCCUUUGUAUGUCUCUAAAGCAGGUUCCUGCUCAGCUCUGCAUACAGAUCCUGAAAUGGCACCUGAAAGUCCUCCGUUAUAGUCCUACGACAUGGACAACACAGAAAGAGGGCCCUGCAAACAGAUAAUCCCAAGAGGAUGCCUGAGAGGAUGUUGCCUGGCUGACGGGAAACAGCUGGCCUCAAACUCAAUAUGUAGCUAAAGAUGACCUUAAAUUUCUGCAUAUAUCUCCCAAGUACUGUGAUUACAACGGAUAUCACCGUACUCUGUGGUACUGAGGACUGAAACCAGGGCUCUGCACACAUUAAGGAUGAACUCUACCAGCUGAACCACAUCUUAAGCCUCUGUAUUUAUUAGUUAAAAAUUUCUAGAAAUAGGGGAUAGAAAGAUGACUCAACAGCUAAGAGGGUUUGAUACUCUUGCCUAAGCCCUGGGUUUGAUUCUCAGCACCUACAUAGCAGCUCAUGGCCACCUGUAACUCCAGUUCCAGGAGAUCCAGUAUUCUUUUCUGGCUUUCUUCAGUGCCACACAUUCACAUGGUGGACAGAUGUUGAUGCAGACAAAAUACUCAUACACAUAAAAUAAAAUCGUGAAAGUAAAAAAGAAAAAGUCUAAUUUACAGUGAGCUUUGCCAUUCAGGUGCUCAUCAUUUUUUCCUAAAGAACUGUUUUCAGUGUGAUGUGUGUGUAAUCUCAGUACUGCAUAUGUAAGAGAACGAAAACAAAUCCUUACUCUGAUCCUGUACAAAAACCAACCCUAAAUGAAUGAGACCUUACUGGAAGAUCUGAAACUCUGGAACUCUGAGAAGGAAACAUAGGAGAAAAGCUUCACAGGCAAGAAAUUUCUAAGGAUGACUCCAGUCUCCAAGAAAUAAAUGCCAGCAUCUAUCAAACGGUGUCUAAAGAAAUUAAGAGCACUGACUGCUUUUUGAGAGGUCCUGAGUUCAACCAUCUGUAAUGGA